GACGAACGCUGGCGGCGUGCUUAACACAUGCAAGUCGUACGGUAAGGCCCUUUCGGGGGUCCACGAGUGGCGCACGGGUGAGUAACACGUGAGUAACCUUCCCACAACUUUGGGAUAACGCUAGGAAACUGGUGCUAAUACUGGAUAUGUGCUCCUGCUGCAUGGUGGGGGUUGGAAAGCUCCGGCGGUUGUGGAUGGACUCGCGGCCUAUCAGCUUGUUGGUGGGGUAGUGGCCUACCAAGGCGGCGACGGGUAGCCGGCCUGAGAGGGUGACCGGCCACAUUGGGACUGAGAUACGGCCCAGACUCCUACGGGAGGCAGCAGUGGGGAAUAUUGCACAAUGGGCGCAAGCCUGAUGCAGCAACGCCGCGUGCGGGAUGACGGCCUUCGGGUUGUAAACCGCUUUCAGCAGGGACGAAGCUUUUUGUGACGGUACCUGCAGAAGAAGCACCGGCUAACUACGUG
Molecule: ribosomal RNA, 465 nt
Filed under: uncultured bacterium
Lineage: Bacteria
Description: partial 16S ribosomal RNA
Rfam family: Bacterial small subunit ribosomal RNA
Source: RNAcentral